UACAGAGGUGGCAAGCGUUGUUCGGAAUUACUGGGCGUAAAGGGCGCGUAGGCGGCUUUCUAAGUCAGACGUGAAAUCCCCCGGCUUAACCUGGGAACUGCGUCUGAUACUGGGAGGCUUGAAUGCGGGAGAGGGAUGUAGAAUUCCAGGUGUAGCGGUGAAAUGCGUAGAUAUCUGGAGGAAUACCGGUGGCGAAGGCGGCAUCCUGGACCGACAUUGACGCUGAGGCGCGAAAGCUAGGGGAGCAAACGGG
Molecule: ribosomal RNA, 253 nt
Filed under: uncultured bacterium
Lineage: Bacteria
Description: partial 16S ribosomal RNA
Rfam family: Bacterial small subunit ribosomal RNA
Source: RNAcentral